RNAcentral lists this ribosomal RNA (294 nucleotides) under Triticum aestivum (bread wheat). RNAcentral describes it as "partial small subunit ribosomal RNA". Lineage: Eukaryota; Viridiplantae; Streptophyta; Magnoliopsida; Poales; Poaceae. The record is from RNAcentral.
AUGAUCGCAUAUUGGGUCGUUGUUCUCUGCAAACAUGAGCAGUUCUUGUUGCACCCACGCGGCGCUGCCGACCGCAGCCUUCAACGCCUCCCGUGGACGUUGCCGCGCUCAACUCAGGGGAGAGCGGUCGCAUCCCACCGCCACAUCGGCUCCGGGCGAAAGCCACGCCGCCGGGACAUCGGCUCCGGGCGAAAGCCACGCCGCCAGAUCCCCCCACGCACCACCGCCUGCAAGUCAUCGUCCGUUAGGGGCCUUCAUACUUCCACUGCUCCACUUGUUGCACGGAGGGCUUGA